GGGCCGGUAGUUCAACCUGGUAGAACGUCCGCUUGGCUAGCGGAAGGCUCCGGGUUCAAAUCCCGGCCGGUCCA
RNAcentral lists this transfer RNA (74 nucleotides) under Candidatus Woesearchaeota archaeon. Its description in RNAcentral is "tRNA-Ala". It matches the Rfam family "tRNA". From Rfam's summary of the family: Transfer RNA (tRNA) molecules are approximately 80 nucleotides in length. Their secondary structure includes four short double-helical elements and three loops (D, anti-codon, and T loops). RNAcentral also lists the same sequence under 1 other name. The record is from RNAcentral. Lineage: Archaea; Nanobdellati; Candidatus Woesearchaeota.